Saccostrea cuccullata (small rock oyster) is the source of this 517-nucleotide long non-coding RNA. RefSeq lists it as uncharacterized. The record is from RefSeq and is a predicted model, not a curated record. The transcript has 3 exons. Lineage: Eukaryota; Metazoa; Mollusca; Bivalvia; Ostreida; Ostreidae.
CCAGGACUACACUGAUGGUUAGCAGUGCCCUCAUCAAGGAAUUUCGAGUAGGAGGGGGAGUGUUGGUCGAAAGAAGAAUUUUCCUCAUCCCAUCAUUACCUAUAGGAGUUUGACUGAGGCCAACUUGUAGACCGUGAUUCAGAGUGGCAGCUUUCCUACCCGGGGAUUUGGUCUCAACCUCCUUGUAUAACUUGUACCGCUGGGAUACAAACAGACAUUUUGUGCAGAGGAGGCCCAUUCUACUUGCGAGACCACACCUUUCCUCAGAUGCCAAGUCCCACGUGAGGGGUCCUUCACAGCCGGAUGUCUGUAGCUGGUGCAGUGAGACAACUUCAUUCCACAUCUCGGCUGUUUUCCCCAAGUGUAGAAGUCUGUGGGAAUUUUUGUUAGCCAGCCUAGCACUGUGGUGGGGUUUCAUCUCUCAGCUUCCUUGGGCGAACUCAGAGGAGGGUGGCACUUUCCCCACACAAGCAUUUCCUCUUUUUCUGCAGUUGACAGAGUGUCUGAAACCAUCAUA